Paramuricea clavata is the source of this 300-nucleotide non-coding RNA. The record is from the annotation of a GenBank genome assembly. NCBI's taxonomy places the organism in Eukaryota, Metazoa, Cnidaria, Anthozoa, Malacalcyonacea, Plexauridae.
UGGGAGAUGUACAUAUUUUUGUUACAACUGUUGCAAGUUGUGUCAGCAGCAUCUUCAGAUUGUGCAUCCUGACGCGACCACUUCUGGGCUAACACAGUGAGGACACGUCCAUUUACGAUUAGGCUUUUAUCGAUUUCCAAUUCUGCAAGACCUUUUAUAAAUAUGCAUAAUCCAGUCGAUGCGGGAAUACCUGGAUGAUAGUCAUGAAUAUUAAGCCUAUAGUCAUGACUAUCAGGGCUAUAGUCAUGACUAUUAAGACUAUAGUCAUGGCUAUAAGGCUAUAGUCAUGACUAUUAAAAC